CACAGAGUUAGCCGGUGCUUCCUUUGAGGGUACCGUCACUGCUCGCGAUUGUUUACCGCGAACGCUUUCGUCCCCCCUGACAGCGGUUUACACCCCGAAGGGCUUCCUCCCGCACGCGGCGUCGCUGGGUCAGCCUUUCGGCCAUUGCCCAAAAUUCCCCACUGCUGCCUCCCGUAGGAGUCUGGACCGUGUCUCAGUUCCAAUGUGCGGGGUCGUCCUCUCAGACCCCGUAGCCGUCGCCGCCUUGGUGAGCCGUUACCUCACCAACUAGCUGAUAGCCCGCGAGCUCCUCCCUGCGCCGUAGCAUUGUAAAGAGGCCACGUUUCCUAAAAGACCCAGCAGGAUCUCUUAACCAUGCGGUAUUAGCCCAAGUUUCCCUGGGUUAUCCCCCGCACAGGGGUAGAUUGCUCACGUGUUACUCACCCGUCCGCCACUCGACUCGUGUCCCGAAGGACCCGGCCUCGUUCGACUUGCAUGUGUUAGGCACGCCGCCAGCGUUCGUCCUGAGCCAGGAUCAAACUCU
RNAcentral lists this ribosomal RNA (523 nucleotides) under uncultured bacterium. RNAcentral's name for it is "partial 16S ribosomal RNA". The record is from RNAcentral.